GACGAACCGUGCGAACGUUGUUCGGAAUCACUGGGCUUAAAGGGCGCGUAGGCGGGCUGCCAAGUCCGGGGUGAAAUCUUUCGGCUCAACCGGAAAAGUGCCUUGGAUACUGACAGUCUUGAGGGAGAUAGGGGCAUGUGGAACAUCCGGUGGAGCGGUGAAAUGCGUAGAUAUCGGAUGGAACGCCGGUGGCGAAAGCGACGUGCUGGUUCUCUUCUGACGCUGAGGCGCGAAAGCUAGGGUAGCGAACGGG
RNAcentral lists this ribosomal RNA (253 nucleotides) under uncultured bacterium. RNAcentral's name for it is "partial 16S ribosomal RNA". It matches the Rfam family "Bacterial small subunit ribosomal RNA", at positions 524 to 776 of the family's 1533-position model. The record is from RNAcentral.